AGGCUGCUGAUAAAGAAGUUUGACAUUCAAAAUGGUGGAAUUGCUGGAUUCCAGAAAUGACUCACCAAUGAUUCUGACCUGAGGAAAAUUCAUUAUCUACAAAGUAAAGAGAGAAGAAGUGUCCCACUUCCCUGACGAUGGAACCCUGGUUGUACCCAGAACUCCAGGCCUCCACUCCAUAAUUCAGGGAGGCACAGUCCUCACUCUUCAGGUCCGGCUUUCUGGCGAUCUCCUUUGCUUUGCCGGCAAAUGCCACCUAGAUAAUACACUCCUUCCUGGCCUUGUUCAAGUGGGUUCCCCU
RNAcentral lists this long non-coding RNA (301 nucleotides) under Canis lupus dingo (dingo). RNAcentral's name for it is "lncRNA (ENSCAFG00020016411.1)". Lineage: Eukaryota; Metazoa; Chordata; Mammalia; Carnivora; Canidae. The record is from RNAcentral.